This 253-nucleotide ribosomal RNA is filed under the name uncultured bacterium. Its description in RNAcentral is "partial 16S ribosomal RNA". It matches the Rfam family "Bacterial small subunit ribosomal RNA", at positions 524 to 776 of the family's 1533-position model. The record is from RNAcentral.
UACGUAGGGUGCGAGCGUUAAUCGGAAUUACUGGGCGUAAAGAGUGCGUAGGCGGAUAUACAAGUUAGAUGUGAAAUACCUGGGCUUAACCUGGGAGGUGCAUUUAAGACUGUAUGUCUAGAGUUUGUCAGAGGGGGGUAGAAUUCCAAGUGUAGCAGUGAAAUGCGUAGAGAUUUGGAGGAAUACCAAUGGCGCAGGCAGCCCCCUGGGAUAAGACUGACGCUGAGGCACGAAAGCGUGGGUAGCAAACAGG